RNAcentral lists this ribosomal RNA (168 nucleotides) under Agnorhiza reticulata. RNAcentral describes it as "5.8S ribosomal RNA". It matches the Rfam family "5.8S ribosomal RNA". From Rfam's summary of the family: 5.8S ribosomal RNA (5.8S rRNA) is a component of the large subunit of the eukaryotic ribosome. It is transcribed by RNA polymerase I as part of the 45S precursor that also contains 18S and 28S rRNA. RNAcentral also lists the same sequence under 1 other name. Lineage: Eukaryota; Viridiplantae; Streptophyta; Magnoliopsida; Asterales; Asteraceae. The record is from RNAcentral.
AAACGACUCUCGGCAACGGAUAUCUCGGCUCACGCAUCGAUGAAGAACGUAGCAAAAUGCGAUACUUGGUGUGAAUUGCAGAAUCCCGUGAACCAUCGAGUUUUUGAACGCAAGUUGCGCCCGAAGCCAUCCGGUUGAGGGCACGUCUGCCUGGGCGUCACGCAUCAC